RNAcentral lists this unclassified non-coding RNA (232 nucleotides) under uncultured fungus. RNAcentral describes it as "sequence contains ITS1". Lineage: Eukaryota; Fungi. The record is from RNAcentral.
AGUAUUUAUAAUGAUGCGUUACAUCAAUUACAUUCAGUUUAAAUUAAAUUGAGUUUGUAUAUGACAGUAGACGGCAGGGUUUUUUAGGCCCUUCCGUCUCACAAGUGCACAAGGGGUGUGUGGAUGAAAUUUUUAAAAAAAAGAGAAGGCGUGCACAAAUGUUCAGAAAACCAGCAACAGCCCAAUCUUAAUUUAUUCAAUAAUGAUCCUUCCGCAGGUUCACCUACGGAAA